UGGGUAACCUGCCUCAAAGAGGGGAAUAGCCUCCCGAAAGGGAGAUUAAUACCGCAUAAUAUGUUUAAGUCGCAUGACUUUAACAUCAAAGGAUUUUCUUUUAAGAAAUUCCACUUUGAGAUGGACCCGCGGCGCAUUAGCUAGUUGGUGAGGUAACGGCUCACCAAGGCAACGAUGCGUAGCCGACCUGAGAGGGUGAUCGGCCACAUUGGAACUGAGACACGGUCCAGACUCCGUAGGGACG
RNAcentral lists this ribosomal RNA (244 nucleotides) under uncultured bacterium. RNAcentral's name for it is "partial 16S ribosomal RNA". It matches the Rfam family "Bacterial small subunit ribosomal RNA", at positions 118 to 348 of the family's 1533-position model. The record is from RNAcentral.